GUAUCUGCACUUUAAUCAAAUAGAAACGUUGGAACCUGAAUCCUUUACCCAUCUUCCAAAACUUGAAAGGCUAUUUUUACAUAACAACAGAAUAGCUCAUUUGAUUCCUGGAACAUUUAGUCAUUUAGAAUCUAUGAAGAGACUGCGGUUGGAUUCAAACGCUCUUCACUGUGAUUGUGAGAUCCUGUGGCUGGCAGAGCUGCUGAAGACAUAUGCAGAGUCAGGUAAUGCCCAAGCAGCAGCUACCUGUGAGUACCCACGAAGGAUCCAGGGAAGAUCAGUGGCCACGAUAACACCAGAAGAACUUAACUGUG
Molecule: long non-coding RNA, 314 nt
Organism: Merops nubicus (carmine bee-eater)
Lineage: Eukaryota; Metazoa; Chordata; Aves; Coraciiformes; Meropidae
Exons: 3
Source: RefSeq, a predicted model, not a curated record